RNAcentral lists this ribosomal RNA (986 nucleotides) under Scolecohyalosporium thailandense. RNAcentral's name for it is "SSU rRNA". Lineage: Eukaryota; Fungi; Ascomycota; Dothideomycetes; Pleosporales; Parabambusicolaceae. The record is from RNAcentral.
UUUAUUUGAUAGUACCUUACUACUUGGAUACCGUGGUAAUUCUAGAGCUAAUACAUGCUGAAAACCCCGACUUCGGGAGGGGUGUAUUUAUUAGAUAAAAAACCAACGCCCUUCGGGGCUUCUURGUGAUUCAUGAUAACUUCUCAGAUCGCAUGGCCUUGCRCCGGMGACGGUUCAUUCAAAUUUCUGCCCUAUCAACUUUCGAUGGUAAGGUAUUGGCUUACCAUGGUUUCAACGGGUAACGGGGAAUUAGGGUUCGAUUCCGGAGAGGGAGCCUGAGAAACGGCUACCACAUCCAAGGAAGGCAGCAGGCGCGCAAAUUACCCAAUCCCGACUCGGGGAGGUAGUGACAAUAAAUACUGAUACAGGGCUCUUUUGGGUCUUGUAAUUGGAAUGAGUACAAUUUAAACCUCUUAACGAGGAACAAUUGGAGGGCAAGUCUGGUGCCAGCAGCCGCGGUAAUUCCAGCUCCAAUAGCGUAUAUUAAAGUUGUUGCAGUUAAAAAGCUCGUAGUUGAACCUUUGGCCUGGCUGGUGGGUCCGCCUCACCGCGUGCACUCGUCCGGCCGGGCCUUCUCUUCUGGAGAACCUCAUGCCCUUCACUGGGUGUGCUGGGGACCAGGACUUUUACUUUGAAAAAAUUAGAGUGUUCAAAGCAGGCCUUUGCUCGAAUACGUUAGCAUGGAAUAAUAGAAUAGGACGUGCGGUCCUAUUUUGUUGGUUUCUAGGACCGCCGUAAUGAUUAAUAGGGACAGUCGGGGGCAUCAGUAUUCAAUUGUCAGAGGUGAAAUUYUUGGAUUUAUUGAAGACUAACUACUGCGAAAGCAUUUGCCAAGGAUGUUUUCAUUAAUCAGUGAACGAAAGUUAGGGGAUCGAAGACGAUCAGAUACCGUCGUAGUCUUAACCAUAAACUAUGCCGACUAGGGAUCGGGCGGUGUUUCUAUAUUGACCCGCUCGGCACCUUACGAGAAAUCAAAGUGUUUGGUC